Molecule: long non-coding RNA, 157 nt
Organism: Oncorhynchus masou masou (cherry salmon)
Lineage: Eukaryota; Metazoa; Chordata; Actinopteri; Salmoniformes; Salmonidae
Exons: 3
Source: RefSeq, a predicted model, not a curated record
ACCUCCCCUGAGGAACAAACAUAUUGAGGUUAUGUACAGAGAGAGAUCCCCCACCUCCCCUGAGGAACAACCAUAUUGAGGUUAUGUACAGAGAGAGAUCCCCCACCUCCCCUGAGGAACAACCAUAUUGAGGUUAUGUACAGAGAGAGAUCCCCCC